RNA transcript from Sinocyclocheilus grahami, 2303 nucleotides. It is a transcript of the gene named NK-tumor recognition protein-like, with no coding region annotated. NCBI's taxonomy places the organism in Eukaryota, Metazoa, Chordata, Actinopteri, Cypriniformes, Cyprinidae. The transcript is spliced from 2 exons. The record is from RefSeq and is a predicted model, not a curated record.
UUAACUUUUAAAAUACUUCUUUAUAAAACAUUUUUGCAUCUUUUUUGAAGCUUCAAAACUCUAGCAGUUGCAUGGAAAAGGGCUGUAUUUGAUGACUAAUUUUUCCUUUUGUGUUCCACGGAAAAAAGUUUUGGUUGGAAUGACAUGAGAAUGAAAAAUUAAUGGCAGAAUUUUCAGUUUUGGGUGAACCGUUACUUUUUCUAAAUAAUUCAGCCCAACUUGGCAAAAGGUUUUGAUGUAAACAGUAGUUGUUUUAGUAGAAAAUCUCUCGAUUUUAUUCUAAAGAGCACGAGAAACACUCAAGAGUACAGAAGCAGCACAGAAGCAUCACUGAUAUCAGGUGUUCAUGAACAUCUCUUUGCCUGCUCCUGUCCUUCUCCUUAACACAACUUUUUGAAGCAGAUGACAAGCUCUCAGUGUACUUUUUUGUCGGUAUCUCUCUCUUCAACAGACGAGAACUUUACUCUCAAACAUGAUAGAGCCUUCCUCUUGUCGAUGGCCAACCGUGGCAAAGACACGAAUGGGUCCCAGUUCUUCAUGUAAGUACUAUUUACACUGGUAUAAGACACAGAGAGGGUGUAUGAGUGCAUAGAAAUAACCAUUCAUUCUGCUUACCAUUUAAUCUGACUGACUGGUCAUUAUUAAAUGACACGUGCAAUACGUAUAGAUUAUGUAUUCCCCCAGUGUUCAGAUCAUUUCUACAGAACUAUUUUGCUUCAGUCAUAGCCUUUAUAAUGAUGUGCAUUUGAAAACCUGUAUCUGUUUUAAGAGAUUGGCCAAAAGCACAAAGAGCAUCUAGGCUUUUAAAUUUGAUCCAAGUGUUAUACUUGCUUAUAUACUGACUCAUACUUAUGUCAAUCCCAAUUCGUUGACACAUCAAUAACAUUUUUAAAGACCACUAGUGAUUUUCAGUAGAAAAGCAAGAUGGUAAAGAAGGAACAUUUUAUGUUCUGUCUACUUUUUUUUUUAAUUGAUUUAGUAAUACAAUCAUCUUAGUUUACUCCUUUGCCGUUCACACUCUCUCUAACCUUCCCAGACUUCCUCAAUCUCUUUACCACAUAUAUAUUUAUUUUGGAAACUCUACAUAGUCUACAUGUUCGUGUGGGAUGCAGGUGCAUUUUCAUUCUCCUUUUCCCUUGUCAAUGUGCAUUUAGAAAUAUUUUAUAAUCAGAAAGAAUUCAUUUUUGCCUACAAAUGUAUUACAAUUUUUCUCUUGCCGUUUUUGUGUAAAAUUUGCAGAAACUCUAGCAUCCUGCUCUACCAAGGUAAAGUGUCUCUCCAAGGCUGUGCUUCUCUCUCCUGACUGUGUAUUUCUGGUUGCUUUUAGCUAGCACUGGCUUCUUAUUUAUCUUUAAAUAAUUUUCACCUCAUAAAAAAAUCUGUUCUCCCAGCACAGAGAACCUUGAAGUCUUUCAAUUAUUGACGUAUUUCAAGUUUAAAAUUACAGGAUGUAUUUUCUUGCAAUGGACACACUGAUUUCUAAUGUCCCUAUAAUAUUUUUAAAUGGGUUUAAUUGGUUUUGUCAGCAUAAUGCUGACAGAUGUUGGACCUGUUCCUGUUCAUCAUUAGAAUUUAUUCAUCCAGCCAGUGUUAUUGUGCAAGCACUGCUGGUUUUAAAUUCCUCAGUGUUUGAAUUGAUGCAUACAAAUUUCUUCUUGAUGACAGACUGAAUGCUUUUUUUAGACUAAAUUUAUUUCCCUUUAUCUUUAUCCCCCCACAUGUCCCUGUUGGAUGACCUGGACUCCAUUAUGUCAUUUACCUGACAAUAGAACUACUAAGACAGCGCCUCAUCUAGAUGGGAUUUUUGAUCUAAUUUAGAGUGCAUGUGGUCUUUGGGCUGGUCAUCUCUGGCUUUGAGGUCAUAAAGAAAAUCGAAGGGCUGAAGACCGACUCAGCCAGCAGACCCUAUGCUGACGUCAGAGUGAUUGACUGCGGACAGCUGAUUACAAAGUCUGCUAACGAUGGUAAGCUUGUUCCUGAGUGCGAGAGAUAAACUAGGAAUUUUGGCUGCACACUUUCCGCCUGUCACUAUGCUGUUUGUCUUUACCUAAUGGAAAAUAUUUUUUAAUCUACAUUGUGGAGUGAAAUAUGGUUUAAAAAUGGAACUGUGAAAGAUCAUAAAACAAAAUGACGGGUGCUUUGAAACACUGCAGACACCAAAUUUAAUACACACACUUACACGGUGUCCUAACCAGGCAUGAUGCUACGAAGCAUCAAGUAACAAUCGAGAGUUUUUUCCCUAACCACCCACAGCAAGUGAUGUGCAACAAGACAUUUUGCCUGUCACUUGAUUUGUAUUUUUA